GGCGAACGCUGGCGGCGUGCUUAACACAUGCAAGUCGAGCGGUAAGGCCUUUCGGGGUACACGAGCGGCGAACGGGUGAGUAACACGUGGGUGAUCUGCCCUGCACUUCGGGAUAAGGCUGGGAAACUGGGUCUAAUACCGGAUAUGACCUCCUAUCGCAUGGUGGGUGGGGGAAAGAUUUAUCGGUGCAGGAUGGGCCCGCGGCCUAUCAGCUUGUUGGUGGGGUAAUGGCCUCCCAAGGCGACGACGGGUAGCCCACCUGAGAGGGUGACCGGCCACACUGGGACUGAGAGACGGACCAGACUCCUACGGGAGGCAGCAGUGGGGAAUAUUGCACAAUGGGCGAAAGCCUGAUGCAGCGACGCCGCGUGAGGGAUGACGGCCUUCGGGUUGUAAACCUCUUUCAGCAGGGACGAAGCGCAAGUGACGGUACCUGCAGAAGAAGCACCGGCUAACUACGUG
This 462-nucleotide ribosomal RNA is filed under the name uncultured bacterium. RNAcentral describes it as "partial 16S ribosomal RNA". It matches the Rfam family "Bacterial small subunit ribosomal RNA", at positions 28 to 507 of the family's 1533-position model. The record is from RNAcentral.